CGNNGGGGUGNNUNAAUAGAGAACGAAUGAGUAACACGUGGGCAAUCUGCCCUUCACUCUGGGACAAGCCCUGGAAACGGGGUCUAAUACCGGAUACGACACACGACCGCAUGGUCUGUGUGUGGAAAGCUCCGGCGGUGAAGGAUGAGCCCGCGGCCUAUCAGCUUGUUGGUGGGGUGAUGGCCUACCAAGGCGACGACGGGUAGCCGGCCUGAGAGGGCGACCGGCCACACUGGGACUGAGACACGGCCCAGACUCCUACGGGAGGCAGCAGUGGGGAAUAUUGCACAAUGGGCGAAAGCCUGAUGCAGCGACGCCGCGUGAGGGAUGACGGCCUUCGGGUUGUAAACCUCUUUCAGCAGGGAAGAAGCGAAAGUGACGGUACCUGCAGAAGAAGCGCCGGCUAACUACGUGCCAGCAGCCGCGGUAAUACGUAGGGCGCAAGCGUUGUCCGGAAUUAUUGGGCGUAAAGAGCUCGUAGGCGGCUUGUCACGUCGGAUGUGAAAGCCCGGGGCUUAACCCCGGGUCUGCAUUCGAUACGGGCAGGCUAGAGUUCGGUAGGGGAGAUCGGAAUUCCUGGUGUAGCGGUGAAAUGCGCAGAUAUCANGANGAACACCGGUGGCGAAAGGCGAUCUCUGGGCCGAUACUGACNCUGAGNAGCGAAAGCGUGGGGAGCGAANANNAUUAGAUACCCUGGUAGNCCNCNNCGUAACGUUGG
RNAcentral lists this ribosomal RNA (718 nucleotides) under Streptomyces sp. LK2133.3. RNAcentral's name for it is "partial 16S ribosomal RNA". It matches the Rfam family "Bacterial small subunit ribosomal RNA", at positions 80 to 812 of the family's 1533-position model. Lineage: Bacteria; Bacillati; Actinomycetota; Actinomycetes; Kitasatosporales; Streptomycetaceae. The record is from RNAcentral.